Molecule: long non-coding RNA, 2033 nt
Organism: Antechinus flavipes (yellow-footed antechinus)
Lineage: Eukaryota; Metazoa; Chordata; Mammalia; Dasyuromorphia; Dasyuridae
Exons: 2
Source: RefSeq, a predicted model, not a curated record
CUGACCCAUUAGAAUCUCAGCCCAAUAUCCUGUAAUACAACUUAUUUCAAAGUCUAACAAAAUAAUCAUGUUAACUCAUAAGAUGACAUCUAUUUGGGAUCUUAAGGAGCUGCAUUUAGUCUCACCAACUAAUUUUACUUUUAAAUUAACAAAAAUAAUUAUCUCCCUCUUACCUUGCCCUCCAUUAAAGAGAGAGAAAAAGAGUGAGAGGGAGAAAAUAAAAACACAAUACCCUUGUAACAAAUAUGUAUUAGCAAAAUGAAAUCCCAUAUUGACCACAUCCACAUACGUGUCAUUCGGAAUUUUGAAGCUUCAUCUCCGGUGUCAGGAAGAUUUCAUUAUUAUUCCUCUAGAAUUGUGUUUGGUCAUUAUAGGGAUCAUAGUUCUUUAAUCUUUUAAAGUUGUUUAACUUUACAAUUACUCUCCAGAUUCUGCUCACCUCACUAUUAUUUCAUACAAAAUUGUUUCUUAGAAAACGAUAGGAAUCUAUUACAUUAAUGCAUAUUAUUUCAUUUAGUCAUGUCUCAAUUGAUAAGCACCUUCUCACUUCUAAUUCUUUCCUACUAUAAAAAGAGCUGCUAUAUAUAUAUUUUUGCACAAGUGGCUUCUUUUCCCUUUUCAUACCUCUAGGAAGUAGGUCUAAUAGAAGUAGAAUUUAGUCAAAAGGCAUACAUACAAUUUGACCCCGUUCCCAAGUGAUUUCUAAAAUGGCUGAACUACUUCGCAGCUCUUUCAACAAUAAAUAUUUGCCUCAGAUCCAUGAAAUGGUUUUGAUCUGUCAAAAGUAUUUCUUAUAUCUACUGAUAUAAUCACUUCUGUUGUUUUAGCUAUUAAUGUGAUCUAUUAUGUUUUAUGCUUUUUUUUCCUAUCCUAUGGAUAUUGAAUUCCUAUAUUUCUGGAAUAAAUCCCUCCUAAUCAGUAUGUAAUUCCUUUGAUACAAUGUUGCUCUUUAAGAAGCAUAUACAAAGCUCUAAGACCAAUAAUGUAAACUUUCAAUGAAGCAAUGAUCAAAGGAUGCAAAAGAAUAGAUAUAAAUUGUUUAUAACCACUUUAAUACAUGUUCAGUCAAAAUUCCUCCUGUGAUACAGAUAUGGUUGUGAUACUUCAAAAAGUCAAAAAAGAGAAAAACUCUAGACCAAUAACCUUAAUGAAUAUUAACAGAAUAAUAUUAAUAUGGAAUUUAGUCUCUUCAUUUUACUGACAAGGGUUAAUUGCUACCCAUAGUAUGGUGCAAGGGAAGCUAAGUCAGGAACUCUAAGGCCCAUCUCUUUUACAAAAUAUGUACAGUACCUACACUGUUGACCUUCUAAGACUGUAAGAAAAGUUCUUUGUAAACUAUAACUGGCAAUAACCAUAUAUAAUACUGAUGCAAAGCUAUAAAAAUAAUGCAUACUCCCUAAUAAUAAAGCAAUGGCCAAAGGAAAUGAAGCAACAAUUUACAAAAGAAAACUUACAAACUGUUAAUAACCACAUUAAUCAAUGUUCACAUUCCCAGAAAAGCAAAGGAAGGAAACAUAAACAUAUAAAAGAACAUUUUUUUUUUUUUAAAGGAUAAAACCAGAGAGACCACAGAUAAGAUACUUUAUCAUAUUGUUAUUGGCAACGUAGAAUGGAGCAAGUAACAUAACACACCCCUAAACAAUAUGACUGAUCAAAGGGUUCGUAUCUUUGGACCCAGCAAUUCCAUUGCUAGAUUAAAAUUAAAAAUUAAAAAAAAUUAUAAUAAAAAGAAAAUCUAAUUGUAACAAAAAUAUUCAUAGCAAUUAUGAAGGCAAAAAAAAAAAAAAAAAGCACAACAACCUAGAAAUAACAUCAAUAUCCAAGCAAAUCACGAACAUAUGACCAAAAUUUCUUAAGAAUCUUCUUUCUCAGGGCAGCUAGGUGGCGGAGUAUAUAGAGCACCAUCCCUGAAGUCAGGAAGACUUGAGUUCAAAUCUAGUCUCAGACAUUUAACUCAUCCUAGUUGUGUGACCCUGGACAAGUCACUGAGGCAAUUGCCUCAGCCAAAAAAAAAAAAAAAAAAAAAAAAAGAA